UAUUGCACAAUGGGGGAAACCCUGAUGCAGCGACGCCGCGUGAGUGAGGAAGUAUUUCGGUAUGUAAAGCUCUAUCAGCAGGGAAGAAGAUGACGGUACCUGACUAAGAAGCUCCGGCUAAAUACGUGCCGGCAGCCGCGGUAAUACGUAUGUAGCAAGCGUUAUCCGGAUUUACUGGGUGUAAAGGGAGCGUAGGCGGCCUAGCAAGUCUGGUGUGAAAUACCGGGGCCCAACCCCGGGACUGCAUUGGAAACUGCCAGGCUGGAGUGUCGGAGGGGUAGGCGGAAUUCCUAGUGUAGCGGUGAAAUGCGUAGAUAUUAGGAGGAACACCGGUGGCGAAGGCGGCCUGCUGGACGACAACUGACGCUGAGGCUCGAAAGCGUGGGGAGCAAACAGGA
RNAcentral lists this ribosomal RNA (398 nucleotides) under uncultured bacterium. RNAcentral describes it as "bacterial SSU rRNA". It matches the Rfam family "Bacterial small subunit ribosomal RNA", at positions 362 to 777 of the family's 1533-position model. The record is from RNAcentral.